AACGAACGCUGGCGGCAUGCCUAACACAUGCAAGUCGAACGAGACCUUCGGGUCUAGUGGCGCACGGGUGCGUAACGCGUGGGAACCUGCCCUUAGGUUCGGAAUAACUCCCCGAAAGGGGUGCUAAUACCGGAUAAUGUCUUCGGACCAAAGAUUUAUCGCCUUUGGAUGGGCCCGCGUUGGAUUAGCUAGUUGGUAGGGUAAAAGCCUACCAAGGCGACGAUCCAUAGCUGGUCUGAGAGGAUGAUCAGCCACACUGGGACUGAGACACGGCCCAGAAUCCUACGGGAGGCAGCAGUGGGGAAUAUUGGACAGUGGGCGAAGGCCUGAUCCAGCAAUGCCGCGUGAGUGAUGAAGGCCUUAGGGUUGUAAAGCUCUUUUACCCGGGAUGAUAAUGACAGUACCGGGAGAAUAAGCUCCGGCUAACUCCGUG
Molecule: ribosomal RNA, 433 nt
Filed under: uncultured bacterium
Lineage: Bacteria
Description: partial 16S ribosomal RNA
Rfam family: Bacterial small subunit ribosomal RNA
Source: RNAcentral